CUGGCUCAGGAUGAACGCUAGCUACAGGCUUAACACAUGCAAGUCGAGGGGCAUCAUGUCGGUUGCUUGCAACCGAUGAUGGCGACCGGCGCACGGGUGAGUAACGCGUAUCCAACCUUCCCCUUAGUAGGGCAUAGCCCGUAGAAAUGCGGAUUAACACCCUAUGUUCUUCAUGGAUGGCAUCUGACGUGAAGCAAAGUUUACGCUAAGGGAUGGGGAUGCGUCUGAUUAGGUUGCAGGCGGGGUAACGGCCCACCUGGCCGACGAUCAGUAGGGGUUCUGAGAGGAAGGUCCCCCACAUUGGAACUGAGACACGGUCCAAACUCCUACGGGAGGCAGCAGUGAGGAAUAUUGGUCAAUGGGCGAGAGCCUGAACCAGCCAAGUAGCGUGCAGGAUGACGGCCCUAUGGGUUGUAAACUGCUUUUGUGCGGGAAUAACGGUCGCCACGUGUGGUGAUGUGCAUGUACCGUACGAAUAAGGAUCGGCUAACUCCGUGCCAGCCGCAGC
Molecule: ribosomal RNA, 508 nt
Filed under: uncultured bacterium
Lineage: Bacteria
Description: bacterial SSU rRNA
Rfam family: Bacterial small subunit ribosomal RNA
Source: RNAcentral